UUUUUUUUAUUUAAAUAAAAAACUAAAAUUCAAAUCUCCAUAGUUGGUAACCCUUUUCGUUUAUGUUUUAAGGGGAAUCCCUCGACUGUAUUACACGUAAUUUUUAUUUUGUUUUCAUUGUCACUAAUUAGUUAGUGUUGAGACUUUUAGGUCAAAAUAACCACUUAUGUGUUAAAUAUCGUUUAGUGAGAGAACAGGGAGGGGUGGGCUUACAGAAAAAUAUUACGGCGAGUUACACAGGGAAUGAAGAGUCAAUAAUAUUCAAAAAUUGCGUAAUGUAAUACAUGAAAGUCCCAUAAGGAGAUGGUAACACGGCCUAGCUCUUUGUGACCUGGCGGCUGCUUUCCUGGCAGCAGCGGUCGGGCAGCCGGAGAGCGAGCGGUGUGUGCUGCGGUUGGAGCUGACGUGACCGCGACCGUUGCACCCCGGCGUGGGGCACUUCAAGAUCGUCUCGUGCAACGCCAAUACUAUACAGAACGAAUUAUAAUGUAUAGAAUUUGUGAUUGGAAGUGAUCUACUCGUAUUAUAAAAAUAUAUAACAACAGUGCUCAGGAAAUAAUACGUAUUUCUUUCUUUUUUUUGUUUAAUGUAUUAAUUAUCAUAUUUUUUCUGAUAAUAUAUAACUAUAAACCAAAUCUUUUUGUAAUAUGGAUAAAAUCAUAUUACGCUGACCCCAAAUGAUUGGGAUAGGGGUAGGAAGAUGAUGAUUUUUUCUGAACAGUAACCGCGUAUUUUAUUAUAUGUUACGCAGUGUAUUUACAGAAUAGAUUCCUUCAUCGUAGUACUUAUAAUUAAUCAGAUU
Galleria mellonella (greater wax moth) is the source of this 802-nucleotide long non-coding RNA. RefSeq lists it as uncharacterized. The record is from RefSeq and is a predicted model, not a curated record. The transcript has 2 exons. NCBI's taxonomy places the organism in Eukaryota, Metazoa, Arthropoda, Insecta, Lepidoptera, Pyralidae.